Molecule: ribosomal RNA, 262 nt
Filed under: uncultured archaeon
Lineage: Archaea
Description: partial 16S ribosomal RNA
Rfam family: Archaeal small subunit ribosomal RNA
Source: RNAcentral
CAGCCGUAAACUAUGCGCGUUAGGUGUACUGGUGACCACGAGUCACCGGGGUGCCGAAGGGAAACCGUGAAACGUGCCGCCUGGGAAGUACGGUCGCAAAGGCCGAAACUUAAAGGAAUUGGCGGGGGAGCACCACAACGGGUGGAGCCUGCGGUUUAAUUGGACUCAACGCCGGAAAUCUCACCGGAUAGGACAGACAUAUGAUAGUCGGGCUGAAGACUCUACUUGAUGAUCUGAGAGGUGGUGCAUGGCGUCAGUGACU